This 516-nucleotide ribosomal RNA is filed under the name uncultured bacterium. Its description in RNAcentral is "bacterial SSU rRNA". It matches the Rfam family "Bacterial small subunit ribosomal RNA", at positions 32 to 507 of the family's 1533-position model. The record is from RNAcentral.
ACGACGCUGGCGGCGUGCCUAAUACAUGCAAGUCGAGCGAGCGGAAUCAACAGAUUUACUUCGGUAAUGACGUUGGGAAAGCGAGCGGCGGAUGGGUGAGUAACACGUGGGGAACCUGCCCCUAAGUCUGGGAUACCAAUUGGAAACGAUUGCUAAUGCCCGGAUGAUAUAUAAAACGAUACGUUGUUUUAUAUUAAAAAGGAGCCUUUAAAGCUUCACUUUGAGAUGAGCCCGCGGCGUAUUAGCUAGUUGGUGAGGUAAUGGCCCACCAAGGCAACGAUGCGUAGCCGGCCUGAGAGGGUGAUCGGCCACAUUGGGACUGAGACACGGCCCAAACUCCUACGGGAGACAGCAGUUAGGAAUAUUCGUCAAUGGGGGAAACCCUGAACGAGCAAUGCCGCGUGAGUGAUGACGGUCCUUUGGAUUGUAAAACUCUGUUGUUAGGGAAGAACGACCUGUAUAGGAAAUGAUACAGGAGUGACGGUAUCUUUCAAGAAAGCUCCGGCUAACUACGUG